CGGGUGUAGCUCAGUUGGUUAGAGCGCCGGCCUGUCACGCCGGAGGUCGCGGGUUCGAGCCCCGU
This 65-nucleotide transfer RNA is filed under the name uncultured Sphingomonas sp. It matches the Rfam family "tRNA", at positions 2 to 63 of the family's 71-position model. From Rfam's summary of the family: Transfer RNA (tRNA) molecules are approximately 80 nucleotides in length. Lineage: Bacteria; Pseudomonadati; Pseudomonadota; Alphaproteobacteria; Sphingomonadales; Sphingomonadaceae. The record is from RNAcentral.